GAUGAACGCUGGCGGCGUGCCUAAUACAUGCAAGUCGAGCGAACAGACGAGGAGCUUGCUCCUCUGACGUUAGCGGCGGACGGGUGAGUAACACGUGGAUAACCUACCUAUAAGACUGGGAUAACUUCGGGAAACCGGAGCUAAUACCGGAUAAUAUAUUGAACCGCAUGGUUCAAUAGUGAAAGACGGUUUUGCUGUCACCUAUAGAUGGAUCCGCGCCGCAUUAGCUAGUUGGUAAGGUAACGGCUUACCAAGGCAACGAUGCGUAGCCGACUUGAGAGGGUGAUCGGCCACACUGGAACUGAGACACGGUCCAGACUCCUACGGGAGGCAGCAGUAGGGAAUCUUCCGCAAUGGGCGAAAGCUUGACGGAGCAACGCCGCGUGAGUGAUGAAGGUCUUCGGAUCGUAAAACUCUGUUAUUAGGGAAGAACAAAUGUGUAAGUAACUAUGCACGUCUUGACGGUACCUAAUCAGAAAGCCACGGCUAACUACGUG
This 497-nucleotide ribosomal RNA is filed under the name uncultured bacterium. RNAcentral's name for it is "partial 16S ribosomal RNA". It matches the Rfam family "Bacterial small subunit ribosomal RNA", at positions 28 to 507 of the family's 1533-position model. The record is from RNAcentral.